RNAcentral lists this unclassified non-coding RNA (352 nucleotides) under Hevea brasiliensis (rubber tree). Lineage: Eukaryota; Viridiplantae; Streptophyta; Magnoliopsida; Malpighiales; Euphorbiaceae. The record is from RNAcentral.
ACACUCGAAUCCAUAAUCCUCUCAUCUCUGUCUCUGUCUCUCUGCUAUUUACACAAGGAGCAAAACAUCUACUCCUCUGCUUUAAAAUAAAAGAAAAGCUACCAAAUUCUAUGAUAUUCCUACUGACUUUCGCUACAAUAAUUGAAAAGUCGCAUUAUUAUGACUAUUAUUCUGAGACAGGUGGCAUUAUUAUUGUUAGAAAGAGGAGAAUAUGCACGUCAUAAUGUACUUUGUAUUGCAUAUCUAUGUCGCGGUCUAGUGGGGGUCGGUGGAACUUAAUGAAUAUCAUCUUAAUCUCAUAUUUUAAAAAGAGUUUGAAUUUUAUAGAGUAUUUUUAUAAUUUAAUUUUUUA